This 253-nucleotide ribosomal RNA is filed under the name uncultured bacterium. Its description in RNAcentral is "partial 16S ribosomal RNA". It matches the Rfam family "Bacterial small subunit ribosomal RNA", at positions 524 to 776 of the family's 1533-position model. The record is from RNAcentral.
UACGGAGGGUGCAAGCGUUAUCCGGAAUUACUGGGUUUAAAGGGUGCGUAGGCGGCUGUAUAAGUCAGAGGUGAAAGGUUGUCGCUUAACGAUAGAAUUGCCUUUGAUACUGUAUAGCUUGAAAUUAGGUGAGGUUGGCGGAAUGUGACAUGUAGCGGUGAAAUGCAUAGAUAUGUCAUAGAACACCGAUUGCGAAGGUAGCUGGCGAACCUAAGUUUGACUCUGAGGCACGAAAGCGUGGGUAGCAAACAGG